This 355-nucleotide ribosomal RNA is filed under the name uncultured bacterium. RNAcentral's name for it is "bacterial SSU rRNA". It matches the Rfam family "Bacterial small subunit ribosomal RNA", at positions 8 to 351 of the family's 1533-position model. The record is from RNAcentral.
AGAGUUUGAUCAUGGCUCAGGAUGAACGCUAGCUACAGGCUUAACACAUGCAAGUCGAGGGGCAGCAUGUUGGUUGCUUGCAACCAAUGAUGGCGACCGGCGCACGGGUGAGUAACGCGUAUCCAACCUACCCUUGUCCAUCGGAUAACCCGUCGAAAGGCGGCCUAACACGAUAUGCGGUUCUCAGCAGGCAUCUAACGAGAACGAAAUGUGAAGGAGAAGGAUGGGGGAUGCGUCUGAUUAGCUUGGUUGGCGGGGUAACGGCCACCAAGGCGACGAUCGAGUAGGGGUUCUGAGAGGAAGGUCCCCCCANACUUGGAACUGAGACACGGUCCAAACUCCGUACGGGAGGCCA